Non-coding RNA from Cherax quadricarinatus, 2031 nucleotides. NCBI's taxonomy places the organism in Eukaryota, Metazoa, Arthropoda, Malacostraca, Decapoda, Parastacidae. The record is from RefSeq and is a predicted model, not a curated record.
UUGCAGACUUACUGAAAAGAACCUUGACACAUCUAGAAGCAUUGCUCUGGAACAAGUGAUGAAGCCUUUUCAUCUGUGUAAUGUGCUGCUGAGUAAAACACACCACAGAUGUAUUACAGAUGACUUGAGCAAUCCAGUGCAACCAUCAACUGACAACUGUACAUCUGCAUCAACACAAACCACAGCCUUCCACCUUGGUCCAGCGGGCCAUAUUAAUUUUCUCUACAGACUUUCAUAUCAAGAGGCACCGACAACAGCCAGAAUUUAAAAAUGCACCUGGAAAAUUCUGGAGGAUUGGUCUUAAAUCUGCACAUCAAAAUCACUCCCUGCAAAUGUAAGAAGCUUGAUGGUGCAAAAUUCCAUGCUGUUGCUGCUAGUGUGUCACUAGCACCAACAGCCUGGUUGAUCAGGCCAGCAACAAAUAGGUGUGGCCUGGGACUAGGCUGUGGGGGUGAUGACCCCUGAAGUAAGCUGCAGACAAUAGUGCCAUUAUUUUGUUUGAAGCAAGAGAAUUAUUUUCCAAAUUUUUCAUACCUCAAGCCUUAUUACAAGAAAAUUCUCAUAGUAUUGUGCAUAUAUUGAUGUGCUGUGUUCUGCAUCACUGUAAGUGUUCAAACCUUUUCCUUGUUUUGUGUUUUUUUUUUUUUGCCUCUAUUAUUUUUUAUAUUUCAUUGAACAAAUUCACUCUUAGUGCAAUUUUUUAACUUCUUUUAAAGUAAAUCAUUCUUUUGUUUGUUCAGUAAGUGUUUGCUUAAGCUGCAAUUAAGAGUUAAAGUGUUCAAUCAGUUCAUUCCUUGAUAAUUUUUUUUUGUUGCUUUUGUAAACUGUAUUUUCUUGUGUGUGUUAUUUUUUAUUAUUGCAACAUUAACUCAUUUUACAAUAAUUCUUGUGUAAACAUUGUGCUGCCAUUAAAUUUUUUUUUUCUUUCAGAAAUUUUAUGUAGUGUUGUGUUGUGCAGUACUUUUGAUUAGAAAUUGUUAUUUGCAAUAUUGCUACAGUUUAUUUCAGUGCAAUAUCCUGUGAUUUCAGUUUCACAUUUUCUGUGCAUAAUAUUUUAUUCUUUGUGUGUCAUUUUAUUUUCUUUUUAGUGAAUUGCUUUCCCAGUUUGUUUUAAUUUUGCACAAGAUUUGUUGAUCCCAUUUUAUAAUUUUUUUUGUUGAAUUUCUUUAUUCAAUUGAGAGUAAAGACAACUCACUGUGCCAUUCAUUCAAUUUAAAGUAAAUCUGAGUAAAUUUGAUUUGAGUAAAGUACAAUUUCUCUUGAUUUUCAGAGUGUUGCUUAUCCAGUUGAGUAAUUUUUUUUAUUUUCUUUACUUAUGCAGAAUAGUUAAGCAUUUUCUUCCCAUUUAGGCAAAGUGUGUCAUUCUCUCUAUUUUUCUUGCCUUUAUGUCCUUGAGUAAGUUCCCUGAGAAGAUGUCCCAGUCACUUUUGUUUUGCUCACUUAGUGUAUCAUGCCAGUCAGAGUCAAUAUGAAUCAGUCCACAGUACCAAUAUUCCCCUGCUGACUAAAAGACAUUACCUAGCCCUUGAGCAAUGUGCUUGUUCUCACAGCUUGUAUCUGAGAUUUGUUAAAGUGCUGCGGAAUGCAAAGUUCAGAUUAAGUUCCUAUAGAUCCGUGAAUUCCUUAUUAACAUAGCCGAGUGGUCAGGCACUAGUAACUCUGUCACUCCCAUCAGUGUUUCACCUACACCUUCAGACUUGCAGGAUAGUGUUCCAUUGCCUCAAGUGUCCGGGGACACUUGAGCGCACAGCCUAUCCCUGCAAUGUCUGCUAGUUCAAGAAGUAGUUUCUCCACAGGGGAUGCCUUGUCAGAAAACGAUUACUUGAAACUAGUAAUGCCAUCUCUUGUUGAUGUCACAUGCCGCCUGCAGAAAGACGUCUCUGUUGCGGCUAGUGCUCUUACUAGAGUGUCUGUUGUUGUCCCUAGUGUUCCAGAUGGUGAUAACGUCCUAGUUGACAGUGAUUCCUGCAAGGUCAAGGGUUUAUUUGUUGAACCUUCCUUACAUGUUGUAAGAGACAGUAAGAUCCAUUU